This is an RNA transcript of Populus euphratica (Euphrates poplar), 1394 nucleotides long. It is a transcript of the gene named xylem cysteine proteinase 2-like, with no coding region annotated. The record is from RefSeq and is a predicted model, not a curated record. The transcript is spliced from 5 exons. NCBI's taxonomy places the organism in Eukaryota, Viridiplantae, Streptophyta, Magnoliopsida, Malpighiales, Salicaceae.
ACACUUUACUUGAAGCAACACAUGCCGUACACACCAAAGGGCAUAACCUAUAUAUACCACCCCUCCCCUUCCUUCAUGUCCAUCCUUCCACUCAACAAUUUUUCCCAUUCUCAAAUUCAAACAGCUCAAAUGGCUCUCCCCACAGUUUCUUUGAUUCUUGCGUUGUCUCUCAUGUCAUUCUUUGCAUCUUCUGGUUUAGCUCGUGAUUUCUCAAUUGUAGGCUAUGCCCCAGAAGACUUGACGUCUAGGGAUAAGAUCAUUGAUCUCUUUGAAUCAUGGAUAUCAAAACACCAGAAGAUUUAUGAGAGUAUUGAAGAAAAAUGGCAUAGAUUUGAGAUUUUCAAAGAUAAUUUGUUCCACAUUGACGAGACUAAUAAGAAGGUUGUUAACUACUGGCUUGGAUUGAAUGAGUUCGCUGAUUUGAGCCAUGAAGAGUUCAAAAACAAGUAUCUUGGCUUGAAUGUUGACUUGUCUAACAGAAGAGAAUGCUCUGAGGAAUUCACAUACAAGGAUGUCUCGAGCAUCCCAAAGGCUGUGGAUUGGAGAAAGAAAGGAGCUGUUACUGAUGUCAAGAACCAAGGUUCAUGUGGUAGCUGCUGGGCCUUUUCAACAGUGGCAGCAGUAGAAGGUAUAAAUCAGAUUGUUACUGGAAAUUUGACAUCCCUCUCUGAGCAAGAGUUGGUCGAUUGUGAUACUACAUAUAACAAUGGAUGCAAUGGAGGACUUAUGGAUUAUGCAUUUGCUUACAUAAUCUCCAACGGUGGCCUCCACGAGGAGGAAGAUUACCCAUACAUCAUGGAAGAGGGCACUUGUGAGAUGAGAAAGGCAGAAUCAGAGGUAGUAACCAUUAGUGGAUACCAUGAUGUGCCACAAAACAGUGAAGAAAACCUAUUGAAGGCACUUGCAAACCAGCCCCUGAGUGUGGCCAUUGAUGCUUCUGGCAGAGACUUCCAGUUUUACAGCGGGGGUGUUUUUGAUGGUCAUUGUGGAACCGAGCUAGAUCAUGGAGUGGCAGCCGUUGGAUAUGGAUCAACCAAGGGCUUGGACUUCAUCGUAGUUAAAAACUCUUGGGGAUCUAAAUGGGGAGAAAAGGGUUUCAUAAGGAUGAAGAGAAACACUGGCAAGCCCGCAGGACUUUGUGGAAUCAACAAGAUGGCUUCUUAUCCCACCAAGAAGAAGUGACAUGCUAAAUGUCCUAAAUUUGUGUUUUUCCCCUUCUUAUUUACUAUUUCUGAAAUCUGGAUGUCAUGGGGAUGAUGAUGUCUUGUAAUAAUUGAUUUUCUAAAUUCAUGUCCACUCAAGCUCAUGUUUUCUCUGCUACUACCAGCAUGCCCCUACAAAAACUAUUAGCAUCCCCAUGUUCUGUUACAGCUUCCUUAACUCCAUUCUGGCUA